CUCCGUAGUCCGGCAGCAUGGAGUCAGGGGUGGCCGGGCUCCUCGGGACACUGGCUCCGCAGACGCCCAGUGCUGGGGUCUGCUCAGCAGCGUCCGCUGCUUGUCCCACGCCGCCGCCGGCUCCU
Aquila chrysaetos chrysaetos is the source of this 125-nucleotide long non-coding RNA. RefSeq lists it as uncharacterized. The record is from RefSeq and is a predicted model, not a curated record. Lineage: Eukaryota; Metazoa; Chordata; Aves; Accipitriformes; Accipitridae. The transcript is spliced from 3 exons.